RNAcentral lists this ribosomal RNA (465 nucleotides) under uncultured bacterium. RNAcentral describes it as "partial 16S ribosomal RNA". It matches the Rfam family "Bacterial small subunit ribosomal RNA", at positions 28 to 507 of the family's 1533-position model. The record is from RNAcentral.
GACGAACGCUGGCGGCGUGCUUAACACAUGCCAGUCGAACGGAAAGGCCCUGCUUGCAGGGUACUCGAGUGGCGAACGGGUGAGUAACACGUGGGUGAUCUGCCCUGCACUUCGGGAUAAGCCUGGGAAACUGGGUCUAAUACCGGAUAGGAGCCAUUUUUAGUGUGAUGGUUGGAAAGUUUUUUCGGUGUAGGAUGAGCUCGCGGCCUAUCAGCUUGUUGGUGGGGUAAUGGCCUACCAAGGCGGCGACGGGUAGCCGGCCUGAGUGGGUGGACGGCCACAUUGGGACUGAGAUACGGCCCAGAAUCCUACGGGAGGCAGCAGUGGGGAAUAUUGCACAAUGGGCGCAAGCCUGAUGCAGCGAAGCCGCGUGGGGGAUGACGGCCUUCGGGUUGUAAACUCCUUUCGCUAGGGACGAAGCUUUUUGUGACGGUACCUAGAGAAGAAGCACCGGCUAACUACGUG